AACGCACAUUGCGCCCUCUGGUAUUCCGGAGGGCAUGCCUGUUUGAGCGUCAUUUCUCCCUCAAACCCCCGGGUUUGGUGAUGAGCAAUACGCCAGGUUUGCUUGAAAGUUAGGAGGAGUAUUUAUAACAAUGUAUUAGGUCUAACCACUCCAUUGUGCUUAAUAAAAGCUCCAAUCUAUAUUUCAAACUUCGACCUCAAAUCAGGUAGGAUUACCCGCUGAACUUAA
Molecule: unclassified non-coding RNA, 228 nt
Filed under: uncultured fungus
Lineage: Eukaryota; Fungi
Description: sequence contains ITS2
Rfam family: 5.8S ribosomal RNA (bases 1-52)
Source: RNAcentral